RNAcentral lists this ribosomal RNA (253 nucleotides) under uncultured bacterium. RNAcentral's name for it is "partial 16S ribosomal RNA". It matches the Rfam family "Bacterial small subunit ribosomal RNA", at positions 524 to 776 of the family's 1533-position model. The record is from RNAcentral.
UACGUAGGGGGCAAGCGUGGUCCGGAUUUACUGGGCGUAAAGCGCGGGCAGGCGGUUGGACAAGGGGGAUGGGAAAGCGCUGGGCUAAACCGAGCGAGGCCAUUCCAAACUGUUCAACUGGAGGGCAGUAGAGGUAGGUAGAAUUCCGGGUGGAGUGGUGAAAUGCGUAGAGAUCCGGAGGAAUACCAGAGGCGAAGGCGGCCUACUGGGCUGCACCUGACGCUGAGACGCGAAAGCCAGGGGAGCGAACGGG